Long non-coding RNA from Sapajus apella (tufted capuchin), 116 nucleotides. RefSeq lists it as uncharacterized. The record is from RefSeq and is a predicted model, not a curated record. NCBI's taxonomy places the organism in Eukaryota, Metazoa, Chordata, Mammalia, Primates, Cebidae. The transcript is spliced from 3 exons.
UCUGUAACUUCCAGCUUAGGCUAGUGGCACCGGUUUUGUCUCUUCCACUGACCUUGUGCCUUCUAUUUUCAAUUUUUACUUCUCCUUUUGAAAUGCAGGGUAGAAGGCUAAGGGUA